CCCUAUUCCUUUUCUUCCUCACGCGACGCAAGAGGAGAUCUAUCCCGCAUUUUCUGCAGCUAGGGCACAACGAUCCUGCGCCACCUCCUCCUUCUUUCUUCUUUCACCGGCCGGCGCAGUGACAGCAACCAAUUUCAGGCGGCAAGCUUCGGCUCCAAUCAUCCACCUCACCGGAGGGGUUCUCCGGUGAGAUUCUUCACCUUGCGGUGUUUUUUUUCCCUUCUUCCGACUGGGGUUCAAGCGGCAGAGGCAGAGAAGCGGUGGCGGUUCAUCCGAUUUCACAACACCUCCAUUACUUCCGUUCAUCUUCCAUCGAGGGGGUUCUUCGGUGGAAGUUUCGUUCAUCAUCACCGUUGUUGAAGCACAGCCGGUAUCUUGGUUGUUGUUCAUCAAUUCCGGGAGUUCAGGAGCUGGGCGUUUUGUGUGAAGCACCUUCACCGACGGGCAACAACAUCUUCUCCAGAUUUGGUUUUCACAGCAGCUCUUCAUCCGGUUCAAAUCUGGACAGUAGCAGAUCUUAUUCCAAGCAGCAGCUUCCUUCCAACAUUAGUUUGAUCUUCAUGUGUUGGUUGUGUUGAUUUGAUUAUGCAUUGGUUUAUUUCUGUGGAUUGUUAUUAUUGAAUGUGAAAUGCUUGUAUUGAUAUGAUCUCCCAUG
Molecule: long non-coding RNA, 655 nt
Organism: Zingiber officinale
Lineage: Eukaryota; Viridiplantae; Streptophyta; Magnoliopsida; Zingiberales; Zingiberaceae
Exons: 2
Source: RefSeq, a predicted model, not a curated record